UACGUAGGGUGCAAGCGUUGUCCGGAAUUAUUGGGCGUAAAGAGCUCGUAGGCGGUCUGUUACGUCUGCUGUGAAAACCCUGGGCUUAACCCUGGGCUUGCAGUGGAUACGGGCAGACUAGAGGCAGGUAGGGGAGAAUGGAAUUCCCGGUGUAGCGGUGAAAUGCGCAGAUAUCGGGAGGAACACCGGUGGCGAAGGCGGUUCUCUGGGCCUGACCUGACGCUGAGGAGCGAAAGCGUGGGGAGCGAACAGG
RNAcentral lists this ribosomal RNA (253 nucleotides) under uncultured bacterium. Its description in RNAcentral is "partial 16S ribosomal RNA". It matches the Rfam family "Bacterial small subunit ribosomal RNA", at positions 524 to 776 of the family's 1533-position model. The record is from RNAcentral.